RNAcentral lists this ribosomal RNA (2906 nucleotides) under Escherichia coli BL21(DE3). Its description in RNAcentral is "23S ribosomal RNA from Escherichia coli BL21(DE3) (PDB 6QDW, chain b)". It matches the Rfam family "Bacterial large subunit ribosomal RNA". The record is from RNAcentral. Lineage: Bacteria; Pseudomonadati; Pseudomonadota; Gammaproteobacteria; Enterobacterales; Enterobacteriaceae.
GGUUAAGCGACUAAGCGUACACGGUGGAUGCCCUGGCAGUCAGAGGCGAUGAAGGACGUGCUAAUCUGCGAUAAGCGUCGGUAAGGUGAUAUGAACCGUUAUAACCGGCGAUUUCCGAAUGGGGAAACCCAGUGUGUUUCGACACACUAUCAUUAACUGAAUCCAUAGGUUAAUGAGGCGAACCGGGGGAACUGAAACAUCUAAGUACCCCGAGGAAAAGAAAUCAACCGAGAUUCCCCCAGUAGCGGCGAGCGAACGGGGAGCAGCCCAGAGCCUGAAUCAGUGUGUGUGUUAGUGGAAGCGUCUGGAAAGGCGCGCGAUACAGGGUGACAGCCCCGUACACAAAAAUGCACAUGCUGUGAGCUCGAUGAGUAGGGCGGGACACGUGGUAUCCUGUCUGAAUAUGGGGGGACCAUCCUCCAAGGCUAAAUACUCCUGACUGACCGAUAGUGAACCAGUACCGUGAGGGAAAGGCGAAAAGAACCCCGGCGAGGGGAGUGAAAAAGAACCUGAAACCGUGUACGUACAAGCAGUGGGAGCACAGAGCAAUCUGUGUGACUGCGUACCUUUUGUAUAAUGGGUCAGCGACUUAUAUUCUGUAGCAAGGUUAACCGAAUAGGGGAGCCGAAGGGAAACCGAGUCUUAACUGGGCGUUAAGUUGCAGGGUAUAGACCCGAAACCCGGUGAUCUAGCCAUGGGCAGGUUGAAGGUUGGGUAACACUAACUGGAGGACCGAACCGACUAAUGUUGAAAAAUUAGCGGAUGACUUGUGGCUGGGGGUGAAAGGCCAAUCAAACCGGGAGAUAGCUGGUUCUCCCCGAAAGCUAUUUAGGUAGCGCCUCGUGAAUUCAUCUCCGGGGGUAGAGCACUGUUUCGGCAAGGGGGUCAUCCCGACUUACCAACCCGAUGCAAACUGCGAAUACCGGAGAAUGUUAUCACGGGAGACACACGGCGGGUGCUAACGUCCGUCGUGAAGAGGGAAACAACCCAGACCGCCAGCUAAGGUCCCAAAGUCAUGGUUAAGUGGGAAACGAUGUGGGAAGGCCCAGACAGCCAGGAUGUUGGCUUAGAAGCAGCCAUCAUUUAAAGAAAGCGUAAUAGCUCACUGGUCGAGUCGGCCUGCGCGGAAGAUGUAACGGGGCUAAACCAUGCACCGAAGCUGCGGCAGCGACGCUUAUGCGUUGUUGGGUAGGGGAGCGUUCUGUAAGCCUGUGAAGGUGUGCUGUGAGGCAUGCUGGAGGUAUCAGAAGUGCGAAUGCUGACAUAAGUAACGAUAAAGCGGGUGAAAAGCCCGCUCGCCGGAAGACCAAGGGUUCCUGUCCAACGUUAAUCGGGGCAGGGUGAGUCGACCCCUAAGGCGAGGCCGAAAGGCGUAGUCGAUGGGAAACAGGUUAAUAUUCCUGUACUUGGUGUUACUGCGAAGGGGGGACGGAGAAGGCUAUGUUGGCCGGGCGACGGUUGUCCCGGUUUAAGCGUGUAGGCUGGUUUUCCAGGCAAAUCCGGAAAAUCAAGGCUGAGGCGUGAUGACGAGGCACUACGGUGCUGAAGCAACAAAUGCCCUGCUUCCAGGAAAAGCCUCUAAGCAUCAGGUAACAUCAAAUCGUACCCCAAACCGACACAGGUGGUCAGGUAGAGAAUACCAAGGCGCUUGAGAGAACUCGGGUGAAGGAACUAGGCAAAAUGGUGCCGUAACUUCGGGAGAAGGCACGCUGAUAUGUAGGUGAGGUCCCUCGCGGAUGGAGCUGAAAUCAGUCGAAGAUACCAGCUGGCUGCAACUGUUUAUUAAAAACACAGCACUGUGCAAACACGAAAGUGGACGUAUACGGUGUGACGCCUGCCCGGUGCCGGAAGGUUAAUUGAUGGGGUUAGCGGUAACGCGAAGCUCUUGAUCGAAGCCCCGGUAAACGGCGGCCGUAACUAUAACGGUCCUAAGGUAGCGAAAUUCCUUGUCGGGUAAGUUCCGACCUGCACGAAUGGCGUAAUGAUGGCCAGGCUGUCUCCACCCGAGACUCAGUGAAAUUGAACUCGCUGUGAAGAUGCAGUGUACCCGCGGCAAGACGGAAAGACCCCGUGAACCUUUACUAUAGCUUGACACUGAACAUUGAGCCUUGAUGUGUAGGAUAGGUGGGAGGCUUUGAAGUGUGGACGCCAGUCUGCAUGGAGCCGGCCUUGAAAUACCACCCUUUAAUGUUUGAUGUUCUAACGUUGGCCCCUGAUCGGGGUUGCGGACAGUGUCUGGUGGGUAGUUUGACUGGGGCGGUCUCCUCCUAAAGAGUAACGGAGGAGCACGAAGGUUGGCUAAUCCUGGUCGGACAUCAGGAGGUUAGUGCAAUGGCAUAAGCCAGCUUGACUGCGAGCGUGACGGCGCGAGCAGGUGCGAAAGCAGGUCAUAGUGAUCCGGUGGUUCUGAAUGGAAGGGCCAUCGCUCAACGGAUAAAAGGUACUCCGGGGAUAACAGGCUGAUACCGCCCAAGAGUUCAUAUCGACGGCGGUGUUUGGCACCUCGAUGUCGGCUCAUCACAUCCUGGGGCUGAAGUAGGUCCCAAGGGUAUGGCUGUUCGCCAUUUAAAGUGGUACGCGAGCUGGGUUUAGAACGUCGUGAGACAGUUCGGUCCCUAUCUGCCGUGGGCGCUGGAGAACUGAGGGGGGCUGCUCCUAGUACGAGAGGACCGGAGUGGACGCAUCACUGGUGUUCGGGUUGUCAUGCCAAUGGCACUGCCCGGUAGCUAAAUGCGGAAGAGAUAAGUGCUGAAAGCAUCUAAGCACGAAACUUGCCCCGAGAUGAGUUCUCCCUGACUCCUUGAGAGUCCUGAAGGAACGUUGAAGACGACGACGUUGAUAGGCCGGGUGUGUAAGCGCAGCGAUGCGUUGAGCUAACCGGUACUAAUGAACCGUGAGGCUUAACC